RNAcentral lists this ribosomal RNA (507 nucleotides) under Newportia divergens. Its description in RNAcentral is "partial small subunit ribosomal RNA". It matches the Rfam family "Bacterial large subunit ribosomal RNA", at positions 1817 to 2600 of the family's 2925-position model. The record is from RNAcentral. Lineage: Eukaryota; Metazoa; Arthropoda; Chilopoda; Scolopendromorpha; Scolopocryptopidae.
GGUUCUUUGAAUAAAUAUGGUAAAGAAUCUUGCCUGCCCAGUGAUGAAAAUUUAACGGCCGCGGUAAUUUAACUGUGCGAAGGUAGCAUAAUCAAUUGUCUAUUAAUUGUAGACUGGAAUGAAUGGUAUGACUAGAAAUUAGUUGUCUUGGGAUUAGUUUAAAAUUUUCAUUUUCUUGAAGAGAAGAAGAUGUUUCAGGGGGACGAGAAGACCCUAUUGAGCUUUAUAUAGAGUAUUAUAAUUAUUUGUGGUGAGUUGAAUAAUUAUAAAAUAUUUUGCUGGGGCGGUGGAGUUAAAACAUUAAAACAAUUUUUAAAGGAAAUAUUAGUAGGUGAAAUUUUGAUCCAAUAAAAUUGAUUAUAAGACUAAGUUACUGUAGGGAUAACAGCGUAAUUUUGUUUAGAAGUACUAAUUUGUGAUAAAGAUUGCGACCUCGAUGUUGGUUUAGGAAACUUGUUUGGUGCAGAUGCUAAAUUAAGUAGUCUGUUCGACUAUUAAAUUCCUAUA